CAGAUCCUGGCUCCAUCCGUACCAGAGUUGCUGUGACAUGUGAAGCAUCCAUAGAACCUCCCAACAGUGUUCCAGGGAAAAGAUGGUUAUGUUUAUGCUUAGAAGAAGAACAAAUCUGUAAAGCACUUGAAUAACAAUGAAGAAUUAAGGAUCUUCAGAUUGCAUGCAGUAGAACUUGAACUCAAAAUAAUAAUUUCAACAUAAACAGAAAAUGUCAUAUCUCAAAAUUUUUUCAGGCACACAUGGAUCCAAGACCUUCAAUGAAAUAACUGGAAUUUUCUUUCUCUCUCUGUGUGUAUCUCCCUCUCCCUGACCACUUAUUUGCUCAUCUCUCUGCUUUGCUUUCUGUGACAGUCAUUCUCGGCAGACUUUCCUGGCAGGUUCACUACAACCAUAAGAAGUUUUGACUUUGACCUGCUUGGCUCAUCCCAUUGUUGAAUCAAUUCCUGUUGCUAGCAAUGGAAUAAAACGAGGGGGGUAACAUGAGCCCUGUGUCCAUCCCUACUCAAACCCCAGAGACUGCAUAUAUAACACCAGUAGUCCCCGAAGAAUAAUCAAGAUGCCAGCUCAGGAGACUGAGAAGCAAUGCUGAGCCAGGAAUAAAUAAUGUUUCCACUAUAAGCGAGUAAAGAAAUUGUCCAGAGUGUGUUGCUUUUAUAUCUACAGUCAGUUAAACUGCACAAGAAAUACAUAGGGUCUGCUG
Long non-coding RNA from Talpa occidentalis (Iberian mole), 703 nucleotides. RefSeq lists it as uncharacterized. The record is from RefSeq and is a predicted model, not a curated record. The transcript has 3 exons. NCBI's taxonomy places the organism in Eukaryota, Metazoa, Chordata, Mammalia, Eulipotyphla, Talpidae.